AUCAUGGAGGUCUGGAUCUGUGGGAAGAAGUUGGCGUCCUGGUCCAUGAGCUGGAGGAGGGGUACAGGAGGGGUCACCAGCUGUGCUCAGCGCCUCUCUCUCCACACAGCGGUCAUAGUGCGCCGCCUGCUGGAAUGUGGGCGGAGCUGUGAGAGAUCCUUCUGUCCUCUCGUCGGCCGCUCACCAAUCCUGACCCAGUGACGUAGACGGCCUCUCCGCCUAGAUUUCCCAGCAGUCUCUUGGGUUCCUCAGCAGGGCGGGCAGAACCUGAAGUGGGUCAGACCGCGUAAGACCAGGUUCUGGACCCGAGUGCAGUUCAGGGCAGCUCCCAGACCUGUGUUUCUGUGUUUCCUGCCCAGAGAGAGGGGCGUUUAAACCCGGUUGUCGGUUCCCUCACGUGGUCCCGGCUCCAGCACCCUGAUAGAGGCCCUCUGCGGGUAGAAGGCCUCAUAUACCCCUCAGGAACAUAGUAUAGUUGUGUUAUUUCGAUAGCACAUAUACUAAAAUUGGAACGAUACAGAGAAGAUUAGCAUGGCCCCUGCGCAAGGAUGACACGCAAAUUCGUGAAGCGUUCCUUAUUUAUUGUUAAAUUAUCAUUUAUUUAUGAUUUGAUGUAUUUUGUUGUUGAUUUCUUCAUAUUUGGGUGAAACAGCGCCACCGUGGCCGCUGUGGUCGCUGCCGGUACUGCAGCAGAGCAGACUGCCUGUGACGUCAAGAGGACAGUCCGCUGGAGCUCUGCUUCUCCUGUCCACAGCAAGCAGACUGUAUAUAUGUUUAUAAAUGCAUCACUAUGCUGGAGAGCAUCGUCCUCACGUUCCGUAUUCCAAUGUUCAAACUUUCUGUUUCCUCCACCAAACCUCGUCUGUUUCCCUGAUGUGUCAUGGUGCAGGCACCCCAUGUGUGUGUAUGUGGAAAUUUCGAGAAAUGUACAACGUUUUUCUACCAAAUUACAAUCAUCUUUUCUUUCUCUCAAAGUAAAUAUGCUAAAGUAAACUUGUAUCAACCAAUUUCAACCAAUGACGCAGUGACCAGGGAGUUGUGAGGAGCCAGUCCUCUGAAACUCCGUGUCACGCAACACCCCUCAACUGUCAAUCUGUAUUGUAACUCUACACAACUCAUAUAUUCAGUUUCACUGGUGAAUACGACUCAGUACAGAAGCUAAGGGCACUCUACCUUCUGCUUCACCUGGACCUCAACGUUACUGGGAUGUCAUGCAAUGGCAGAUAUUUUUUCUUUCACCAUUACAAACAUCUGAAACGGUCCCCAAAUGUUCCUGAAACUUAAACAACGAUGACAUGAAAACGGUGCUAGCUAUCAAAAUGUUCAUUUCCACCAAUGACGCAGUGACCACACACUGCCCACACACACAUCUAUGAAUUUGCACUUAUCACAGAUGGCCUGCAGCUGGAUGGAAUGAAAAAGCUUCUUGUUAAAAUAGCAGGCAGCAUCCUCCGCUGGGGGCUUCACUCAGACGUGGCAGCCAUCAAUAGCCCCCACCACUCUGCUGAAGGCUGCCGACCCAGCUAGACGGGCGAAGCGUCAGGGGAAGGGAAGAUUAUAUGAAUAUGCAAGUCAUUUUAUCAAUAAAAUGUUGUCAUUGAG
Molecule: long non-coding RNA, 1602 nt
Organism: Pseudoliparis swirei
Lineage: Eukaryota; Metazoa; Chordata; Actinopteri; Perciformes; Liparidae
Exons: 3
Source: RefSeq, a predicted model, not a curated record